AAAUUAAAAGGUGAUGAGGUUCGCCUACGAACCACCCCGAUAAAUCGGGGUUGAUGACCUCUACUCUGAA
This 70-nucleotide non-coding RNA is filed under the name Elusimicrobiota bacterium. RNAcentral's name for it is "Elusimicrobia bacterium Fluoride sequence". It matches the Rfam family "Fluoride riboswitch aptamer (crcB RNA motif)". The record is from RNAcentral. Lineage: Bacteria; Pseudomonadati; Elusimicrobiota.